RNAcentral lists this ribosomal RNA (509 nucleotides) under uncultured bacterium. RNAcentral describes it as "bacterial SSU rRNA". It matches the Rfam family "Bacterial small subunit ribosomal RNA", at positions 18 to 518 of the family's 1533-position model. The record is from RNAcentral.
UCUGGCUCAGGAUGAACGCUAGCGGCAGGCUAACACAUGCAAGUCGAGGGGCGAGCGGGAUGUAGCAAUACAUUGCCGGCGACCGGCGGAUGGGUGCGUAACGCGUAUGCAACCUACCUUAGUACAGGGGAAUAACCUUUCGAAAGGGAGACUAACACCCCAUGGUAUUGAUUUAAGGCAUCUUAGAUUAAUUAAAUAUUUAUAGGUAUAAGAUGGGCAUGCGUAUGAUUAGCUAGUUGGUAAGGUAACGGCUUACCAAGGCGACGAUCAUUAGGGGUUCUGAGAGGAAGGUCCCCCACACUGGUACUGAGACACGGACCAGACUCCUACGGGAGGCAGCAGUGAGGAAUAUUGGUCAAUGGGCGCAAGCCUGAACCAGCCAUGCCGCGUGCAAGGAAGACGGCCUUAUGGGUUGUAAACUGCUUUUACAUAAGACUAACCGUAUAUUUGCGAAUAUACCUGAAUGUAUUAUGAGAAUAAGGAUCGGCUAACUCCGUGCCAGCCGCGGC